GUGUCAGCCGCCGCGGUAAUACGGAGGGGGCUAGCGUUGUUCGGAAUUACUGGGCGUAAAGCGCGCGUAGGCGGUUUGCCAAGUCAGAGGUGAAAGCCCGGGGCUUAACCUCGGAAUUGCCUUUGAGACUGGCAGGCUUGAGUACGGGAGAGGUAAGUGGAAUUCCGAGUGUAGAGGUGAAAUUCGUAGAUAUUCGGAAGAACACCAGUGGCGAAGGCGGCUUACUGGACCGUUACUGACGCUGAGGCGCGAAAGCGUGGGGAGCAAACAGGAUUAGAUACCCUGGUAGUCCACGCCGUAAACGAUGGGUGCUAGAUGUUGGGGGCCUUUGGCUUCCGGUGUCGCAGCUAACGCGUUAAGCACCCCGCCUGGGGAGUACGGCCGCAAGGUUAAAACUUAAAGGAAUUGACGGGG
This 414-nucleotide ribosomal RNA is filed under the name uncultured prokaryote. RNAcentral's name for it is "bacterial SSU rRNA". It matches the Rfam family "Bacterial small subunit ribosomal RNA", at positions 505 to 918 of the family's 1533-position model. The record is from RNAcentral.